UACGUAUCCUUUUAUACUUUGAAUGUAUUCCUUUAACAUCAAGAACUAGCAUGAGAAGUGACAACUUCUAGUUAUGUGAGAUUAUAUGUUAUAAUUUGAUAUGAGCUUGUGCUUUAGAUUAUUUGGCUCUAGUAACCGGUGGUGAGUGAUCCAGCCUUUGAACUAAAGAAUCGAAUAGCUUAAGCUUUCUCUUAACGCAAGUCUCUCUUAGAGAAUUCGGCUAACUGUUGGAAGUUGAAUUCUUAUAAAUCAAAAGAGACCUUGUAUAGGACUCUUACAAGUUCUUAAAAAAGGAGAAAACCAAACCCUUAUUCGACUAUGAAAUGAAAACCCAAAACACUAAACCGACUAAGUUGCUGCCGACUUCCUGCGGUUGUAAUUAAUACCAAAUCUGGUAUCAUAAUUUCGACUCCCUUUUGCUAGAGUGAAAUAAUGCUUUUUGGCUACUACUGACAGAUCACAUCUAUAUGCUUUGUACAGAGUGCAAACCUCAUUCGAGAAAACCUUUCUGUCGCAAAUAAUGCUUGUUGGGCCAUUGGAGAAUUAGCAGUUAAGGUUCGUGAAG
Non-coding RNA from Camelina sativa (false flax), 565 nucleotides. Lineage: Eukaryota; Viridiplantae; Streptophyta; Magnoliopsida; Brassicales; Brassicaceae. The record is from RefSeq and is a predicted model, not a curated record.